AGGGCACACGGUGGAUGCCUAGGCAUCAGGAGCCGAUGAAGGACGUGGGAGACCGCGAUAGUCCUCGGGGGGGAGCUGUCAACCGAGCUGUGAUCCGAGGGUGUCCGAAUGGGGGGGAAACCCGGCACCCGUCAUGGGGGGUGUCACUCAUGCCUGAAUUCAUAGGGUAUGAGGGGGGAACGUGGGGGGGAAGUGAAACAUCUCAGUACCCACAGGAAGAGAAAACAAUUGUGAUUCCGUGAGUAGUGGCGAGCGAAAGCGGAAGAGGCUAAACCUGAUUGUGUGAUACCCGGCAGGGGUUGCAGUUGGGGGUGUUGUGGGAUAUGACCGUCGUGGUUCUGCCGGACUGUGGACUUCAUGCACAUCCAGUUAGUGGAAGACUUCUGGAAAGGGUCGCCGUAGUGGGUGAGAGCCCCCGUACGCGAAAACUGGUGUGGUGUUGUGGGUUGUACUCCCGAGUAGCAGCGAGCUCGUGGAAUUUGCUGUGAAUCUGGCGGGACCACCCGCUAAGCCUAAAUACUCCCUGAUGACCGAUAGCGGACUAGUACCGUGAGGGAAAGGUGAAAAGUACCCCCGGGAGGGGAGUGAAAUAGUACCUGAAACCGUGUGCCUACAAGCCGUCAGAGCCGGGCUGCGAUUCGUCGUGGUGGUGAUGGCGUGCCUUUUGAAGAAUGAGCCUGCGAGUUAUGCUUCGUGGCGAGGUUAACCCGUGAGGGGGUAGCCGUAGCGAAAGCGAGUCUGAAUAGGGCGUGUAGUCGCGGGGGUGUAGACCCGAAGCGGAGUGAUCUACCCAUGGCCAGGGUGAAGCUACGGUAAGACGUGGUGGAGGCCCGAACCACCAGGGUUGAAAACCUGGGGGGAUGAGCUGUGGGUAGGGGGGGUGAAAGGCCAAUCAAACUCCGUGAUAGCUGGUUCUCCCCCGAAAUGCAUUUAGGUGCAGCGUUGCGUGGUGGGUACCGGAGGUAGAGCACUGGAUGGCCUAGGGGGGGCCUAAAAGCUUACUGAAGUCAACCAAACUCCGAAUGCCGGUACUUCUAGCGUGGCAGUGAGACUGCGGGGGGAUAAGCUUCGUAGUCGAGAGGGAAACAGCCCAGAUCACCGGCUAAGGCCCCCCCUAAGCGUGUGCUAAGUGGGAAAGGAUGUGGGAUCGCCCGGACAACCAGGAGGUUGGCUUAGAAGCAGCCACCCUUUAAAGAGUGCGUAAUAGCUCACUGGUCAAGUGGUCCUGCGCCGACAAUGUAGCGGGGGCUCAAGUGCACCGCCGAAGCCGUGGCAAUCCGAUGUAUGUCGGGUUGGGUAGGGGAGCGUCGUGCAUCCAGCGAAGCGCCGGCGUGAGCCAGGUGUGGAGGGUGUGCGAGUGAGAAUGCAGGCAUGAGUAGCGAAUGCAGAGUGAGAACCUCUGCCGCCGAAUGACCAAGGGUUCCUGGGCCAGGUUAAUCCGCCCAGGGUGAGCCGGGACCUAAGGCGAGGCCGACAGGCGUAGUCGAUGGACAACGGGUUGAUAUUCCCGUGCCCGUGAUGGUGCGUCCGUGUCGAGGCCGGUGAUGCUAACCAUCCGAAGCCCUUUACUGACCUUCGGGUUGGUUUGUGGGUGGAGCGUGGGACCCGAUCCGGUAGUAGGCAAGCGAUGGGGGUGACGCAGGAGGGUAGUCCCGCCAGGCGUUGGUUGUCCUGGUGCAAGCCUGUAGCCCGAUGCCCAGGUAAAUCCGGGUGUCUGACUUUGAUGUCGUGGGUGAGAGGUGAUGCGUAGCCGAUUGAGGCGAAGUAGGGUGAUCCCAUGCUGCCGAGAAAAGCCUCUAGCGAGUGCUGUUGCGGCCCGUACCCUAAACCGACACAGGUGGUCAGGUAGAGAAUACCAAGGCGAUCGAGUGAACUCUGGUUAAGGAACUCGGCAAAAUACCUCCGUAACUUCGGGAGAAGGAGGGCCGUUGACCUUGAAGCCUCUUGCGGGCUAGGGGGUUGGCGGUCGCAGAGACCAGGCCCAAGCGACUGUUUACUAAAAACACAGGUCCGUGCGAAGUCGCAAGACGAUGUAUACGGACUGACGCCUGCCCGGUGCUGGAACGUUAAGAGGACCUGUUAGUCCCUUUGGGGGCGAAGCGGAGAAUUUAAGCGCCAGUAAACGGCGGUGGUAACUAUAACCAUCCUAAGGUAGCGAAAUUCCUUGUCGGGUAAGUUCCGACCUGCACGAAUGGCGUAACGACUUGGGCGCUGUCUCGACCAGAGACUCGGCGAAAUUGCACUACGAGUAAAGAUGCUCGUUACGCGCGGCAGGACGGAAAGACCCCCGGGACCUUUACUACAGCUUGGUAUUGGUGCUCGGUUCGGCUUGUGUAGGAUAGGUGGGAGACUGUGAAGUGGCCACGCCAGUGGUUGCGGAGUCGUUGUUGAAAUACCACUCUGGUCGAAUUGGGUGUCUCAACCUCGGGCCAUGAUCUGGCUCAGGGACAGUGCCUGGUGGGUAGUUUAACUGGGGGGGCGGUUGCCUCCCAAAGAGUAACGGAGGCGCCCAAAGGUUCCCUCAGCCUGGUUGGCAAUCAGGUGUUGAGUGUAAGUGCACAAGGGAGCUUGACUGUGAGACCGACAGGUCGAGCAGGGACGAAAGUCGGGACUAGUGAUCCGGCACCACCUGGUGGAAGGGGGUGUCGCUCAACGGAUAAAAGGUACCCCCCCGGGGAUAACAGGCUGAUCUUGCCCAAGAGUCCAUAUCGACGGCAUGGUUUGGCACCUCGAUGUCGGCUCGUCGCAUCCUGGGGGGGCUGGAGUAGGUCCCAAGGGUUGGGCUGUUCGCCCAUUAAAGCGGUACGCGAGCUGGGUUUAGAACGUCGUGAGACAGUUCGGUCCCUAUCCGCCGCGCGCGCAGGAGACUUGAGGAAGGCUGUCCCUAGUACGAGAGGACCGGGACGGACGAACCUCUGGUGUGCCAGUUGUCCCGCCAGGGGCAUGGCUGGUUGGCUAUGUUCGGAAGGGAUAACCGCUGAAGGCAUCUAAGCGGGAAGCUCGUUCCAAGAUGAGGUCUCCCACCACCUUGCGUGGUUAAGGCCCCCCCAGCAGACUACUGGGUUGAUAGGCCAGAGAUGGAAGCCUGUGAGGGGUGGAGUUGACUGGUACUAAUAGGCCGAGGGCUUGCCAU
RNAcentral lists this ribosomal RNA (3133 nucleotides) under Pseudonocardia tetrahydrofuranoxydans JCM 14745. Its description in RNAcentral is "bacterial LSU rRNA". It matches the Rfam family "Bacterial large subunit ribosomal RNA". Lineage: Bacteria; Bacillati; Actinomycetota; Actinomycetes; Pseudonocardiales; Pseudonocardiaceae. The record is from RNAcentral.